UUUAUCUGGUAGUCCUUUGCUGGAAUCGUUGAAAUUAAAAUACUGCCAUGGGAUUCAUCGGCUUGACAUAGCAUCAAAACGCAUGAAAAAGCUGGUAAUAUAUCAUAUUUUGGAUCUCACGGGUGGACAGGAUGAUUCUGCUCUUGAAAUUUUCAGUCCUCACCUUGAGAAAUUGAAGAUUUUGGGAAGUUGGGGAAAGACGAAGUGUAAAUUGAUGAAUGUGUCAUCUUUGGUCAGUGCUGUCCUGGAUUUUCAGCUAGACAAUUACGAGAGAGUCAGCAAUGAUUUCUAUGAGAAAUAUCG
This 303-nucleotide unclassified non-coding RNA is filed under the name Hevea brasiliensis (rubber tree). The record is from RNAcentral. Lineage: Eukaryota; Viridiplantae; Streptophyta; Magnoliopsida; Malpighiales; Euphorbiaceae.